RNAcentral lists this transfer RNA (71 nucleotides) under Solanum lycopersicum (tomato). It matches the Rfam family "tRNA". From Rfam's summary of the family: Transfer RNA (tRNA) molecules are approximately 80 nucleotides in length. Lineage: Eukaryota; Viridiplantae; Streptophyta; Magnoliopsida; Solanales; Solanaceae. The record is from Rfam by way of RNAcentral.
GCACCAGUGGUCUAGUGUUAGAAUAGUACCUUCCCACGGUACAGACUUGGGUUCGAUUCCCAGCUGAUGCA